GAAAUGCGAUAAGUAAUGUGAAUUGCAGAAUUCAGUGAAUCAUCGAAUCUUUGAACGCACAUUGCGCCCCCUGGUAUUCCGGGGGGCAUGCCUGUUCGAGCGUCAUUUCAACCCUCAAGCCUGGCUUGGUGAUGGGGCACUGCUUCGAGAGGAGCAGGCCCUGAAAUUCAGUGGCGAGCUCGCCAGGACCCCGAGCGUAGUAGUUAUAUCUCGCUCUGGAAGGCCCUGGCGGUGCCCUGCCGUUAAACCCCCAACUUCUGAAAAUUUGACCUCGGAUCAGGUAGGAAUACCCGCUGAACUUAA
Molecule: unclassified non-coding RNA, 303 nt
Filed under: uncultured Diaporthe
Lineage: Eukaryota; Fungi; Ascomycota; Sordariomycetes; Diaporthales; Diaporthaceae
Description: sequence contains ITS1
Rfam family: 5.8S ribosomal RNA (bases 1-105)
Source: RNAcentral